AUUGAACGCUGGCGGCAUGCCUUACACAUGCAAGUCGAACGGCAGCACGGGAGCAAUCCUGGUGGCGAGUGGCGAACGGGUGAGUAAUAUAUCGGAACGUGCCCAGUCGUGGGGAUAACGUAGCGAAAGCUACGCUAAUACCGCAUACGAUCUAUGGAUGAAAGCGGGGGAUCGCAAGACCUCGCGCGAUUGGAGCGGCCGAUAUCAGAUUAGGUAGUUGGUGAGGUAAAAGCUCACCAAGCCGACGAUCUGUAGCUGGUUUGAGAGAACGACCAGCACACUGGGACUGAGACACGGCCCAGACUCCUACGGGAGGCGAGCAGUGGGGAAGUUUUUGGACAAUGGGCGAAAGCCUAGAUCCAGCAAUG
This 368-nucleotide ribosomal RNA is filed under the name uncultured bacterium. RNAcentral's name for it is "bacterial SSU rRNA". It matches the Rfam family "Bacterial small subunit ribosomal RNA", at positions 30 to 396 of the family's 1533-position model. The record is from RNAcentral.